GGUUGCGAUCAUAACCAGCACUAAUGCACCGGAUCCCAUCAGAACUCCGCAGUUAAGCGUGCUUGGGCGAGAGUAGUACUAGGAUGGGUGACCCCCUGGGAAGUCCUCGUGUUGCAACCC
This 120-nucleotide ribosomal RNA is filed under the name Helianthus annuus (common sunflower). The record is from RNAcentral. Lineage: Eukaryota; Viridiplantae; Streptophyta; Magnoliopsida; Asterales; Asteraceae.